GAUGAACGCUGACAGAAUGCUUAACACAUGCAAGUCAACUUGAACUUCGGUUUGGGUGGCGGACGGGUGAGUCACGCGUAAAGAACUUGCCUCACAGAUAGGGACAACAUUUGGAAACGAAUGCUAAUACCUGAUAUUAUGAUUUUAGGGCAUCCUAGGAUUAUGAGAGCUAUAUGCGCUGUGAGAGAGCUUUGCGUCCCAUUAGCUAGUUGGAGAGGUAACGGCUCACCAAGGCGAUGAUGGGUAGCCGGCCUGAGAGGGUGAUCGGCCACAAGGGGACUGAGACACGGCCCUUACUCCUACGGGAGGCAGCAGUGGGGAAUAUUGGACAAGGGACCAAGAGUCUGAUCCAGCAAUUCUGUGUGCACGAUGAAGUUUUUCGGAAUGUAAAGUGCUUUCAGUUGGGAAGAAAAAAAUGACGGUACCAACAGAAGAAGUGACGGCUAAAUACGUG
This 454-nucleotide ribosomal RNA is filed under the name uncultured bacterium. RNAcentral describes it as "partial 16S ribosomal RNA". It matches the Rfam family "Bacterial small subunit ribosomal RNA", at positions 28 to 507 of the family's 1533-position model. The record is from RNAcentral.